RNAcentral lists this ribosomal RNA (451 nucleotides) under uncultured bacterium. Its description in RNAcentral is "partial 16S ribosomal RNA". It matches the Rfam family "Bacterial small subunit ribosomal RNA", at positions 354 to 796 of the family's 1533-position model. The record is from RNAcentral.
GUGGGGAAUAUUGGACAAUGGGCGAAAGCCUGAUCCAGCCAUGCCGCGUGUGUGAAGAAGGUCUUCGGAUUGUAAAGCACUUUAAGCGAGGAGGAGGCUACCGAGAUUAAUACUCUUGGAUAGUGGACGUUACUCGCAGAAUAAGCACCGGCUAACUCUGUGCCAGCAGCCGCGGUAAUACAGAGGGUGCAAGCGUUAAUCGGAUUUACUGGGCGUAAAGCGCGCGUAGGUGGCCAAUUAAGUCAAAUGUAAAAUCCCCGAGCUUAACUUGGGAAUUGCAUUCGAUACUGGUUGGCUAGAGUAUGGGAGAGGAUGGUAGAAUUCCAGGUGUAGCGGUGAAAUGCGUAGAGAUCUGGAGGAAUACCGAUGGCGAAGGCAGCCAUCUGGCCUAAUACUGACACUGAGGUGCGAAAGCAUGGGGAGCAAACAGGAUUAGAAACCCUAGUAGUCC